This 429-nucleotide ribosomal RNA is filed under the name uncultured Glomus. Its description in RNAcentral is "SSU rRNA". It matches the Rfam family "Eukaryotic small subunit ribosomal RNA", at positions 569 to 1002 of the family's 1831-position model. Lineage: Eukaryota; Fungi; Glomeromycota; Glomeromycetes; Glomerales; Glomeraceae. The record is from RNAcentral.
AGCAGCCGCGGUAAUUCCAGCUCCAAUAGCGUAUAUUAAAGUUGUUGCAGUUAAAAAGCUCGUAGUUGAAUUUCGGGAUCAAUAUAUCGGUCGUGCCAUUGGUACGUACUGGUAUCAUUGGUUUCUCCUUUCUGACGAACCAUGAUGCCAUUAAUUUGGUGUUAUGGGAAGUUAGGACUGUUACUUUGAAAAAAUUAGAGUGUUUAAAGCAGGCUUUAGCUUGAAUACAUUAGCAUGGAAUAAUGAAAUAGGACGUUCGAACCUAUUUUGUUGGUUUCUAGGAUCAACGUAAUGAUUAAUAGGGAUAGUUGGGGGCAUUAGUAUUCAAUUGUCAGAGGUGAAAUUCUUGGAUUUAUUGAAGACUAACUACUGCGAAAGCAUUUGCCAAGGAUGUUUUCAUUAAUCAAGAACGAAAGUUAGGGGAUCGAA